RNAcentral lists this small nuclear RNA (130 nucleotides) under Salvator merianae (Argentine black and white tegu). RNAcentral's name for it is "U2 spliceosomal RNA (ENSSMRG00000003467.1)". It matches the Rfam family "U2 spliceosomal RNA". Rfam says of the family: U2 is a small nuclear RNA (snRNA) component of the spliceosome (involved in pre-mRNA splicing). Complementary binding between U2 snRNA (in an area lying towards the 5' end but 3' to hairpin I) and the branchpoint sequence (BPS) of the intron results the bulging out of an unpaired adenosine, on the BPS, which initiates a nucleophilic attack at the intronic 5' splice site, thus starting the first of two transesterification reactions that mediate splicing. Lineage: Eukaryota; Metazoa; Chordata; Lepidosauria; Squamata; Teiidae. The record is from RNAcentral.
UUAGCUUCUCGGCCCUUUGCCUAAGAUCAAGUUUAGUAUCUGUUCUUAUCAGUUUAAUAUCUGUUAUGUCCACUAUCUGAGGACUCUAUAUUAAAUGGAUUUGCGGGACUGGGUUAAUAGUUAAAAAAAA